GACGAAGGACCCAAGCGUUAUCCGGAUUCAUUGGGUUUAAAGGGUGCGUAGGCGGGUUGAUAAGUCAGUGGUGAGAGCCCAACGCUUAACGUUAGAACUGCCAUUGAUACUGUCGAUCUUGAAUGUGUUUGAUGUGGGCGGAAUAUGACAUGUAGCGGUGAAAUGCUUAGAUAUGUCAUAGAACACCGAUUGCGAAGGCAGCUCACAAAGCCACUAUUGACGCUGAGGCACGAAAGCGUGGGGAUCAAACAGG
RNAcentral lists this ribosomal RNA (253 nucleotides) under uncultured bacterium. Its description in RNAcentral is "partial 16S ribosomal RNA". It matches the Rfam family "Bacterial small subunit ribosomal RNA", at positions 524 to 776 of the family's 1533-position model. The record is from RNAcentral.